AGCAUCUUGGCCGAGUGGUCUAAGGCGGCCGACUCAAGAUCGGCUCUCGCAAGGGGCGCGGGUUCGAAUCCCGCAGAUGCUA
This 82-nucleotide transfer RNA is filed under the name Pseudoloma neurophilia. It matches the Rfam family "tRNA". From Rfam's summary of the family: Transfer RNA (tRNA) molecules are approximately 80 nucleotides in length. Their secondary structure includes four short double-helical elements and three loops (D, anti-codon, and T loops). The record is from Rfam by way of RNAcentral. Lineage: Eukaryota; Fungi; Microsporidia.